Molecule: long non-coding RNA, 203 nt
Filed under: Solanum tuberosum (potato)
Lineage: Eukaryota; Viridiplantae; Streptophyta; Magnoliopsida; Solanales; Solanaceae
Description: long non-coding RNA (STUB_LNC007528)
Source: RNAcentral
CGAGUUAUGACCAUUGAAAGUUGGGCAAUUGGCAGGGAAUCCGUCCGGAAAAAUUAAGGGCAUUUUAGUCUUUUCCCUAGCCAAUUCUUUUGGGAUUAUAUUGUUGUAUAGGGCUGAUCCUUGGAUCAUUUUGUCCCAUUUUAAAAGAGUAAAAGCUAGGGCUUGAGAAGAAGAAGAGAAGAAGAAGAGAAGAAGGAGAAGAA